RNAcentral lists this transfer RNA (83 nucleotides) under Clostridia bacterium. RNAcentral describes it as "tRNA-Leu". It matches the Rfam family "tRNA". From Rfam's summary of the family: Transfer RNA (tRNA) molecules are approximately 80 nucleotides in length. Their secondary structure includes four short double-helical elements and three loops (D, anti-codon, and T loops). The record is from RNAcentral. Lineage: Bacteria; Bacillati; Bacillota; Clostridia.
GUGGACGUGGCGGAACUGGCAGACGCUCAGGUCUCAGAAGCCUGUGGUUACCCGUGUGAGUUCAAAUCUCAUCGUCCGCACCA